UACGUAGGGGGCAAGCGUUAUCUGGAUUUACUGGGUGUAAAGGGAGCGUAGACGGACUUGCAAGUCUGAUGUGAAAAUCCGGGGCCCAACCCCGGAACUGCAUUGGAAACUGUAUAUCUAGAGUGUCGGAGAGGCAAGUGGAAUUCCUGGUGUAGCGGUGAAAUGCGUAGAUAUCAGGAGGAACACCAGUGGCGAAGGCGGCUUGCUGGACGAUGACUGACGUUGAGGCUCGAAAGCGUGGGGAGCAAACAGG
This 253-nucleotide ribosomal RNA is filed under the name uncultured bacterium. RNAcentral's name for it is "partial 16S ribosomal RNA". It matches the Rfam family "Bacterial small subunit ribosomal RNA", at positions 524 to 776 of the family's 1533-position model. The record is from RNAcentral.